GUUUAUCUGCGCAACUUUGUUGAAACGUUUGGUAGAUUCUUCUUUCCAGCUGGAACAAACUAGACGGCAAUUUCCAACAUCACGUGGAGACUGAAGGGAAUUGGACUCCGAGUGAAAUGAGAUCUCCAAAUUGAAGCUCUUGUCGUCUCACAAGCUUCGUGCCAUUGAUGAAAGUUUCGCAUGUUUCAUUUUGAAGGGGCUAUAUCAAUUUCAGAAUUAAUUUUAAUAGUGUUCAUAUUAUAUAAAAAUUAAGUUUACAAAAAUGACAAACCUUCACGUUCUGAAUGUAAUAUGAGCCAUUAAAGCAUACAAUUUCACAAUGGGAUCCUUUAGAAACGCCCGGGCCGAAACAAAAUAAGUACUCCCCUUGCGUCUCGCGACUCUCAAAUGCCUGACCAAUUGUGUACUGUAAUUAUUGAAAUAAAUUAUUGAACAUA
Molecule: long non-coding RNA, 437 nt
Organism: Folsomia candida
Lineage: Eukaryota; Metazoa; Arthropoda; Collembola; Entomobryomorpha; Isotomidae
Exons: 2
Source: RefSeq, a predicted model, not a curated record